AGUGUGAGAAUGUGGCCAGAGCGUCUGGGGAAGACAGGGAGAGUUGUCAGAGAGGAGUUUUGAGGAGGCCCUGAAGGCUCGCCGGCUGUUAAGGCCUGAGCUGUAGUGGGCAAGAAGAGAUGGCCAGUUCAGGUAGAGGAAGCCUGCUUUGAGCUGAAGACCGGAGGUGAAUCUGGACAGGGCUUCCCAGGACCAGUAUUUUUCCCUCUCCACCCUGGUCUUCUCCUGUAACGUGUGGCCGCCUUUUCCAGCACGGCCUCCUGCCUUCCUGGUGCACUUUUUGGAGAACGUGGUGGAAUCAGAGGUUUCUGGCUGACUCGGUGGGUGCUUUGAACCAGGAAAGGACAAGAAAGAGUGAAAUAGAAAACAAGAUCAUCUGUAUCAGGAAUGAUGGCAGAAGACGCUUAAAAUUCUGGCAUUGCCACUGAGAAGAAUGAAGGAUGGAGCUGAUUAGAAAAUUGUAGGAUUGCUGAGCACUGUGAGAGUGGAUGCAGAGAUUCUGAAACUGGGCAGAGGUUCCAGAAGACAAGUCAUUUUUCUAGACCUCCCAUAGACGCCAUCGUUGAUCAAGCCAUUUUCAUUUUCACGAAGUAUUUUAUUAUGGAACUCCUAAAGACCAUCAGCCCUACCUGGCACUGGCUUUCUGGUUGAAAAGCAGCAUUGUGGAGCCUGAAACAUCAUCAGAGGCAACUGCUUCCCCUCCCUGUGGAUUUAGGACCGCUAUGUGCAGAGGUCUGUAUUAGAGAGCCAGCUAGAGUAGCCAGCAGUGACAUAACUAUGUAGGGAGAAGACACAGUUGUCACCUUGACCCCACUGGAUACAGAAAUGUCAAUGGAAAAACAAAUUCUGCAUCUGCUGAAUUGUUCUGUCAAUGCUUGCACUUUCUUGUCAUUUACUAUAUAGAAAGAAUUAUUAGUAUCUUUUAUUUGUCAGUUAUUGAUCCACCUUUUUUUUUUUUUUUUUUUUGGUGGCAGUUCUCCUGUUUGUUAGUUUGCUGUCCCAGUUGAAUUCUGAGUUUCCGGGAAUCCCUAGUGCAAUGAGAAAUGAUGGAGAACCAAUUCUCAUUAUCUGAUGAAGGAAAGAGCCAUGUACCUACAACAGCAAAGGCUCAGACAAGCCUUCUCCUGCCUUGGGUUCAUGGUCACGUGCUGUAGGUGUCUUGUCUUCCCAUGUGCACCUGUCUGCAUCCUCAUGGUGCAUCCUCAGGAUGUCCCGUACAGUGUCUUACCUAUGGUUAUGCUUUUAUAACAAUGUGCUAAUAAAAGCAUGGAUUACAAAACAAAA
Molecule: long non-coding RNA, 1284 nt
Organism: Homo sapiens (human)
Lineage: Eukaryota; Metazoa; Chordata; Mammalia; Primates; Hominidae
Product: long intergenic non-protein coding RNA 511
Source: Ensembl